Non-coding RNA from Cohnella laeviribosi DSM 21336, 34 nucleotides. NCBI's taxonomy places the organism in Bacteria, Bacillati, Bacillota, Bacilli, Caryophanales, Paenibacillaceae. The record is from Rfam.
CUCUGGUCCCGCAUGAGGUCCAGGGCGGAAAGAG